This 253-nucleotide ribosomal RNA is filed under the name uncultured bacterium. RNAcentral describes it as "partial 16S ribosomal RNA". It matches the Rfam family "Bacterial small subunit ribosomal RNA", at positions 524 to 776 of the family's 1533-position model. The record is from RNAcentral.
UACAGAGGGUGCGAGCGUUAAUCGGAGUUACUGGGCGUAAAGGGCGCGUAGGCGGAUGAUUAAGUUAGAUGUGAAAGCCCUGGGCUUAACCUAGGCAGUGCAUCUAAGACUGGUGAUCUGGAGUUUUGGAGAGGGCAGUGGAAUUUCCGGUGUAGCGGUGAAAUGCGUAGAGAUCGGAAGGAACAUCGGUGGCGAAGGCGACUGUCUGGCCAAUAACUGACGCUGAGGCGCGAAAGCGUGGGUAGCAAACAGG